GCCAUCAAAGGAUCCUCCAUCUAUCAUGGCUGAAGUGUUUAGUCCAUUCAAGCCUGCAGCUAGUCCCCUCAUGUCACCAAGGUUAGCCUUUGGUGGCACAUUUCCUGCCAAGGUGUUUGUGUUUCCUGUUUGAUUAACAAAGUUGUCAGCACCAAUAUCAAUCAUAAAGCCUUCAGUAAAAUAAUGGCUGACAAGAGAAUAACCACAAAAAAAACAUUCUUUAUCAUUGGUGAUGUUCACGUGGAUCCUACUCAUAGAAAUGUGUCAAAAAGUAUGAUACUAAUAUUUUUCUCUAGUAAGAGGCAUGCCAAAACUCCAUGAUGGUCACUCCCAUUCCCUAUUUACUAGAACUAGUUUCAUCUUAUAAUAGUGCAUUAUAAACGAAUGCAUCUCAGAUAGUGUGAUUGAGUUUAGGCCUGAAUGGUAUUGGACUUAUCCUAAUAGCAAGCAUUUCUCUUGAUAAACAUCAGAAUGAAUUAUACCUGUAAUUGAGCCAACAAUGAUCAACCUCUUAGAAGGGUAAUCAGAUUUGUUCAAGUCCUCAAGCAAUAGGCGAGAAAGCAGGAAAUGGCCCAAAUGGUUUGUUCCAACACUGAGUUCGAAGCCAUCGGCAGUGUAUGUAGGUUCACUAGCAGUUGGCAAGUAAACUGCAGCAUUGCAAACAAGCACAUCCAGUGGCCUGCCUGAUUGCCUGAAGUUGUACACAAAUUGUCUGACACUAUCAAGGGAGGCAAGGUCCAAAUGUAUAACAGUGUAGUUUUCCUUAGCCAUGCCAGCAGCUUUUGCAGCCCUUUCAGCUUUCAGGAAAUCCCUGC
RNAcentral lists this long non-coding RNA (815 nucleotides) under Phaseolus vulgaris (common bean). Its description in RNAcentral is "long non-coding RNA (PVUL_LNC000349)". Lineage: Eukaryota; Viridiplantae; Streptophyta; Magnoliopsida; Fabales; Fabaceae. The record is from RNAcentral.